This 501-nucleotide ribosomal RNA is filed under the name uncultured bacterium. RNAcentral's name for it is "bacterial SSU rRNA". It matches the Rfam family "Bacterial small subunit ribosomal RNA", at positions 30 to 528 of the family's 1533-position model. The record is from RNAcentral.
AUUGAACGCUGGCGGAAUGCUUUACACAUGCAAGUCGAACGGUAGAGGGGGCAACCCCUUGAGAGUGGCGAACGGGUGAGUAAUAUAUCGGAACGUGCCCAGUCGUGGGGAUAACGUAGCGAAAGUUACGCUAAUACCGCAUACGAUCUAAGGAUGAAAGCGGGGGAUCGCAAGACCUCGCGCGAUUGGAGCGGCCGAUAUCAGAUUAGGUAGUUGGUGGGGUAAAGGCUCACCAAGCCAACGAUCUGUAGCUGGUCUGAGAGGACGACCAGCCACACUGGAACUGAGACACGGUCCAGACUCCUACGGGAGGCAGCAGUGGGGGAAUUUUGGACAAUGGACGCAAGUCUGAUCCAGCCAUUCCGCGUGCAGGAUGAAGGCCUCGGGUUGUAAACUGCUUUGUACGGAACGAAAAGGUUUCUCUUAAUACGAGGAGCUCAUGACGGUACCGUAAGAAUAAGCACCGGCUAACUACGUGCCAGCAGCCGCGGUAAAGUGACU